AAGUCGAACGGUAACAGCGGAGCUUGCUCCGGCUGACGAGUGGCGAACGGGUGAGUAAUGUAUCGGAACAUAUCCGGAAGUGGGGGAUAACUAGUCGAAAGAUUAGCUAAUACCGCAUAUGCCCUUAGGGGGAAAGGGGGGAUCUUAGGACCUCUCGCUUUCGGAGUGGCCGAUAUCGGAUUAGCUAGUAGGUGAGGUAAAGGCUCACCUAGGCGACGAUCCGUAGCUGGUCUGAGAGGACGACCAGCCACACUGGAACUGAGACACGGUCCAGACUCC
Molecule: ribosomal RNA, 279 nt
Filed under: uncultured bacterium
Lineage: Bacteria
Description: partial 16S ribosomal RNA
Rfam family: Bacterial small subunit ribosomal RNA
Source: RNAcentral